Molecule: ribosomal RNA, 401 nt
Filed under: uncultured bacterium
Lineage: Bacteria
Description: bacterial SSU rRNA
Rfam family: Bacterial small subunit ribosomal RNA
Source: RNAcentral
UGGGGAAUAUUGGACAAUGGGCGCAAGCCUGAUCCAGCCAUGCCGCGUGAGUGGUGAAGGCCUUAGGGUUGUAAAGCUCUUUCGGCGGGGAAGAUAAUGACGGUACCCGCAGAAGAAGCCCCGGCUAACUUCGUGCCAGCAGCCGCGGUAUACGAAGGGGGCUAGCGUUGCUCGGAAUCACUGGGCGUAAAGCGCACGUAGGCGGCUUACUAAGUCAGGGGUGAAAUCCUGGAGCUCAACUCCAGAACUGCCUUUGAUACUGGUGAGCUUGAGUUCGGGAGAGGUGAGUGGAACUGCGAGUGUAGAGGUGAAAUUCGUAGAUAUUCGCAAGAACACCAGUGGCGAAGGCGGCUCACUGGCCCGAUACUGACGCUGAGGUGCGAAAGCGUGGGGAGCAAACA